Molecule: long non-coding RNA, 388 nt
Filed under: Saimiri boliviensis boliviensis (Bolivian squirrel monkey)
Lineage: Eukaryota; Metazoa; Chordata; Mammalia; Primates; Cebidae
Description: lncRNA (ENSSBOG00000036652.1)
Source: RNAcentral
CAUCACCAAGAGCUCCCUUCCCACCCAUGCUCAGCCUGCCUGGGGAACUCCAGCAGGGAAAGGGGAAGGGUGAGAGGAAGGAGAGCGUAGGGGAGGAGGCGGGGUCAUCAGGGCUCCAUAUCUCAGCCCAAAAACAGAAGCUGCACCCAGAGCAGGCGGACCUGAGGCCCUCACUCUUGGGUGCCCGAGUAGGUGAGAGCUGGGAGUCUGGACACCAGGAGCCAUUAUUCCCCAGGCUCACCCAGCCCCAGUCCCAGGACUGAGAGCCCCAGGGAGCUUAGAGAGAGUCCAGCAUGUGGGGCCACUUGUCCCUGAUGCCUGCCUUCCUUGCUGUGUGGGCUAUCUCCGGCGUCUGGAUCGUGUGAGUGUCAGAGGCACCAUGGACUCC